Molecule: ribosomal RNA, 253 nt
Filed under: uncultured bacterium
Lineage: Bacteria
Description: partial 16S ribosomal RNA
Rfam family: Bacterial small subunit ribosomal RNA
Source: RNAcentral
UACGUAGGUGGCAAGCGUUGUCCGGAAUUAUUGGGCGUAAAGCGCGCGCAGGCGGUCCCUUAAGUCUGAUGUGAAAGCCCACGGCUCAACCGUGGAGGGUCAUUGGAAACUGGGGGACUUGAGUGCAGAAGAGGAAAGUGGAAUUCCAUGUGUAGCGGUGAAAUGCGUAGAGAUGUGGAGGAACACCAGUGGCGAAGGCGACUUUCUGGUCUGUAACUGACGCUGAGGAGCGAAAGCGUGGGGAGCAAACAGG